UUCGAUACACAUUAUUCUAGUUAGUAAGGGGAAAAUUGGACUAAACGCAUUGAUACGACUGAUACAAGUUAAAAUUUUCAACAAAACGGAAGUAUAGUUAAAGUUUUGAUUUAUUAUCGAUACAAAGCAUAGGAGGCGACGAUCAAGGGUUGUUGAAUUCGAUGUCCUAAGUGUAAAGGGCCUAUUUUGCCUGGGCCCAAAUCACAGACAAAUAAAACAAAAAAAUUUAACCAAAAAUCUAAUAUUAAAGUCCUACAAGCCCAAAAUAAAAAAAAAACAAUUGCCCAAUAUGACCCAAAUCAGAAAAACAUGGCCUAUAAUACCUAAAUAGAAAAAGAAACCCUAGCCCCCUAACCCAAGUGCCGCAUGUCCCUAAGUCGCACCCUAUUGCCGCUGUCACCUCUGUCAC
Molecule: long non-coding RNA, 409 nt
Filed under: Gossypium raimondii (Peruvian cotton)
Lineage: Eukaryota; Viridiplantae; Streptophyta; Magnoliopsida; Malvales; Malvaceae
Description: long non-coding RNA (GRAI_LNC010311)
Source: RNAcentral